UACGUAGGGGGCUAGUGUUAUCCGGAAUUACUGGGCGUAAAGGGUGCUUAGGUGGUUUCUUAAGUCAGAGGUGAAAGGCUACGGCUCAACCGUAGUAAGCCUUUGAAACUGGGAAACUUGAGUGCAGGAGAGGAGAGUGGAAUUCCUAGUGUAGCGGUGAAAUGCGUAGAUAUUAGGAGGAACACCAGUUGCGAAGGCGGCUCUCUGGACUGUAACUGACACUGAGGCACGAAAGCGUGGGGAGCAAACAGGAUUAGAUACCCUGGUAGUCCCUGAG
This 277-nucleotide ribosomal RNA is filed under the name uncultured prokaryote. RNAcentral describes it as "partial 16S ribosomal RNA". It matches the Rfam family "Bacterial small subunit ribosomal RNA", at positions 524 to 801 of the family's 1533-position model. The record is from RNAcentral.